Molecule: ribosomal RNA, 406 nt
Filed under: uncultured bacterium
Lineage: Bacteria
Description: partial 16S ribosomal RNA
Rfam family: Bacterial small subunit ribosomal RNA
Source: RNAcentral
AUUGAACGCUGGCGGCAGGCCUAACACAUGCAAGUCGAACGAGUGGCGGACGGGUGAGUAAUGUCUGGGAAACUGCCUGAUGGCGGGUGAUAACUACUGGAAACGGUAGCUAAUACCGCAUACCAUCAGCUUUUCCCAAGUGGGAUUAGCUUGUUGGUGGGGUAACGGCUUACCAAGGCGACGUUCCCUAGCUGGUCUUAGAGGAUGACCAUGCACACUGGAACUGAGACACGGGCCAGACUCCUACGGGAGGCAGCAGUGGGGAAUAUGGCACAAUGGGCGCAAGCCUGAUGCAGCCAGGCCGCGUGUAUGAAGAAGGCCUUCGGGGUGGAAAGUACUUUCAGCGGGGAGGCGUUACCCGCAGAAGAAGCACCGGCUAACUCCGUGCCAGCAGCCGCGGUAAUUC